Molecule: long non-coding RNA, 246 nt
Filed under: Setaria italica (foxtail millet)
Lineage: Eukaryota; Viridiplantae; Streptophyta; Magnoliopsida; Poales; Poaceae
Description: long non-coding RNA (SITA_LNC004252)
Source: RNAcentral
UGUGCCCUGUGCGAUCAAGAACCUGUAACUCCUAAUCACCUAUUCGUCAGCUGUGUGUUCACCAUUCAGGUUUGGCAUCUCAUCGUCACGAGUCUGAACCUUCAGAAUUUGCAUACAGGCCAACUACCCCGCCUUGUGGAUUGGUGGCUGCGUUCGCGUGAGGGCCUGAACAAGGUGAACAGGAAGGUUUCGAUUCGGCUGUAAUGCUAAUUUCUUGGCAAAACUGGAAAGAACGAAACAGCAGAG